AGAGUUUGAUCCUGGCUCAGGACGAACGCUGGCGGCGUGCUUAAUACAUGCAAGUCGAACGAACUCUGGUAUUGAUUGGUGCUUGCAUCAUGAUUUACAUUUGAGUGAGUGGCGAACUGGUGAGUAACACGUGGGAAACCUGCCCAGAAGCGGGGGAUAACACCUGGAAACAGAUGCUAAUACCGCAUAACAACUUGGACCGCAUGGUCCGAGUUUGAAAGAUGGCUUCGGCUAUCACUUCUGGAUGGUCCCGCGGCGUAUUAGCUAGAUGGUGAGGUAACGGCUCACCAUGGCAAUGAUACGUAGCCGACCUGAGAGGGUAAUCGGCCACAUUGGGACUGAGACACGGCCCAAACUCCUACGGGAGGCAGCAGUAGGGAAUCUUCCACAAUGGACGAAAGUCUGAUGGAGCAACGCCGCGUGAGUGAAGAAGGGUUUCGGCUCGUAAAACUCUGUUGUUAAAGAAGAACAUAUCUGAGAGUAACUGUUCAGGUAUUGACGGUAUUUAACCAGAAAGCCACGGCUAACUACGUGCCAGCAGCCGCGGUAAUACGUAGGUGGCAAGCGUUGUCCGGAUUUAUUGGGCGUAAAGCAAGCGCAGGCGGUUUUUUAAGUCUGAUGUGAAAGCCUUCGGCUCAACCGAAGAAGUGCAUCGGAAACUGGGAAACUUGAGUGCAGAAGAGGACAGUGGAACUCCAUGUGUAGCGGUGAAAUGCGUAGAUAUAUGGAAGAACACCAGUGGCGAAGGCGGCUGUCUGGUCUGUAACUGACGCUGAGGCUCGAAAGUAUGGGUAGCAAACAGGAUUAGAUACCCUGGUAGUCCAUACCGUAAACGAUGAAUGCUAAGUGUUGGAGGGUUUCCGCCCUUCAGUGCUGCAGCU
RNAcentral lists this ribosomal RNA (881 nucleotides) under uncultured bacterium. RNAcentral describes it as "bacterial SSU rRNA". It matches the Rfam family "Bacterial small subunit ribosomal RNA", at positions 8 to 853 of the family's 1533-position model. The record is from RNAcentral.